AAAAAGAUAAAUUCUGAGUUUCCGUGUCAAACUUUGACUGUCCGUCUUAUAUGAAAUUUUUUUAUAAUUCGUAUUUCCAUUGUUGUUAGAUGAUAAAACAUGAUUAAUAUUUUAUACGUGACUUGUCUUUUUAAUUUUUUUCAUAAUUUUUUUAAAUAAGACGGACGGUCAAACAUUGGGCACGGAAACCAGAGUUUGUCUUUUUU
Oryza nivara is the source of this 206-nucleotide non-coding RNA. The record is from Rfam. NCBI's taxonomy places the organism in Eukaryota, Viridiplantae, Streptophyta, Magnoliopsida, Poales, Poaceae.